This 253-nucleotide ribosomal RNA is filed under the name uncultured bacterium. RNAcentral describes it as "partial 16S ribosomal RNA". It matches the Rfam family "Bacterial small subunit ribosomal RNA", at positions 524 to 776 of the family's 1533-position model. The record is from RNAcentral.
UACAGAGGUCUCAAGCGUUGUUCGGAUUCAUUGGGCGUAAAGGGUGCGUAGGUGGCGUCGUAAGUCAGGUGUGAAAUCUCGGGGCUUAACUCCGAAACUGCAUUUGAUACUGCGGUGCUUGAGGACUGGAGAGGAGACUGGAAUUUACGGUGUAGCAGUGAAAUGCGUAGAGAUCGUAAGGAAGACCAGUGGCGAAGGCGGGUCUCUGGACAGUUCCUAACGCUGAGGCACGAAGGCCAGGGGAGCAAACGGG